Molecule: non-coding RNA, 44 nt
Filed under: unclassified sequences
Source: RNAcentral
GGGUGCUGGUCAGCAGGUACCCGUCGAAGAUCGGGCCGCCAUCG